GCCUGGGUAGCUCAGUGGUAGAGCAUUUCCUUGGUAAGGAAAAGGUCGGCAGUUCAAUCCUGCUCCCAGGCUCCA
Molecule: transfer RNA, 75 nt
Filed under: SAR324 cluster bacterium
Lineage: Bacteria; Deltaproteobacteria
Description: tRNA-Thr
Rfam family: tRNA
About the family: Transfer RNA (tRNA) molecules are approximately 80 nucleotides in length. Their secondary structure includes four short double-helical elements and three loops (D, anti-codon, and T loops). Further hydrogen bonds mediate the characteristic L-shaped molecular structure. tRNAs have two regions of fundamental functional importance: the anti-codon, which is responsible for specific mRNA codon recognition, and the 3' end, to which the tRNAs corresponding amino acid is attached (by aminoacyl-tRNA synthetases). tRNAs cope with the degeneracy of the genetic code in two manners: having more than one tRNA (with a specific anti-codon) for a particular amino acid; and 'wobble' base-pairing, i.e. permitting non-standard base-pairing at the 3rd anti-codon position.
Source: RNAcentral